Molecule: ribosomal RNA, 253 nt
Filed under: uncultured bacterium
Lineage: Bacteria
Description: partial 16S ribosomal RNA
Rfam family: Bacterial small subunit ribosomal RNA
Source: RNAcentral
UACGUAGGGUGCGAGCGUUGUCCGGAAUUACUGGGCGUAAAGCGUGCGCAGGCGGUUUGCUAAGAGAGAUGUGAAAUCCCCGGGCUUAACCUGGGAACUGCGUUUCUAACUGGCAGGCUUGAGUGUGGCAGAGGGGGGUGGAAUUCCACGUGUAGCAGUGAAAUGCGUAGAGAUGUGGAGGAACACCGAUGGCGAAGGCAGCCCCCUGGGCUAACACUGACGCUCAUGCACGAAAGCGUGGGGAGCAAACAGG